CUCCCUUCUCCAUGCUUUCUCUCCUCCCCCUCUUCUCUUCCAUGCUCAAAAAUUGGGUGUCCCCUUUUUCAUAUGCCAAGAGGUAGUGCUUUAUAACUUCAAGAGUGAAGAUCAAGAAGAAGAAGAAGAAGGUUGCUGAUCAAAGAGUUGAUGCCGCAGUCUAGAUCAAGGUAUUGAUCAAAGUGUUCAAGGCUAAGAUUAUUUUUAGAAAGAAGAGUCUUCUACAAGGAGAGAUCUGUUAAAAAUUGAUCUCGAUGGAUACUUAUAGAAGCCAGACACAUGUGCGGCUCGAGCAUCUACAAAUCCAUGAUCAUCGAAAGUGGUG
This 325-nucleotide long non-coding RNA is filed under the name Elaeis guineensis (African oil palm). Its description in RNAcentral is "long non-coding RNA (EGUI_LNC070739)". Lineage: Eukaryota; Viridiplantae; Streptophyta; Magnoliopsida; Arecales; Arecaceae. The record is from RNAcentral.